RNAcentral lists this long non-coding RNA (2364 nucleotides) under Gossypium barbadense (sea-island cotton). Its description in RNAcentral is "long non-coding RNA (GBAR_LNC023536)". The record is from RNAcentral. Lineage: Eukaryota; Viridiplantae; Streptophyta; Magnoliopsida; Malvales; Malvaceae.
UGCCAAAAACUGGCUUCCCUCAAGUAUGAUUCGAUCAACAGUGAUGGAGGACCGGGUAGAUUACGAAUAUGGCAUUAUAAAAUUCGAUCUUCUACCUAUUUACGUAAAAAUUAUAAAAAUAUUAAGUUAAAAUAUAACAAUGAAAAAAAUUUAAACAAGAUUAAAAUUUAUUAUUACCAUUUGCAAUUGAUUGACAGAAAUGUGCUUGUUAUCAAGAUGAAUUAGAGACUCGACAAUUGCUAAAUCAUAUAAAACACGAAAUAAUUUUUAAUAAAAAAACAUUUCUUGAAAAUAUUUAUAAAAAAUAUAAUAAAAAUAGAAUUUACAUAGAAAUAGAAUUUUAGUAAAAAAUUUAAGAGAGAAUUUGAGAGAUUUUUUUAGAGUGGAUUGAGAAAUUUUGAGAGAUAAGACAGAAAUGUGAGAAAUUAAUAGGUGAGGGGUUUAUAUUUUUUUUUUACCGUUUGGGGGGGGGGAACACCUAUUUAAAAUAGCCGUUGGAAGUGACCGUGGGGGGGGGGACACGUUGAGCUGGAUGCAUUUUUCAUUAGCGUGCUGAGCUAGAAGCGCUUUACUGGUUAGAGGGGAAAACGAUUGAGUUUUCCUGAAAACAACUUCAACUGGAAGCGUUUUAUCAAAAACAGUCCAUUCUUGUAAUUUUUCAAAAUAUCAGCCUAGUUCUGUAAAUUUCUUUAAAAAAAAAAGGCUUCAUUUGACAAUUUAGUUUAAUUUUAUAAUAAAUUAAUUUUUAAUUUAAUGAUGGAGAGUUAAAUGGUAAUUUUAUUCAUUUUAGAUUGAGCCCUUAAAUUGGCUCUUGCUGUUAUGCAUGUGUAAUUUUAAGAACCAUUAUUAGUUCCAAUGCGGCGUCAAAUUGAUUUUUGGAAUUAUGUUUAAUAUUUAUUAAAAACAAACAAAUAUUUAAAAAGAUUCUUCAAAUAUAUUUUAGUUUUGAGAAAUAAAUAGUAAAAUAAAAUGAGGUAAGUAAUUAUUCUCUUCUCUCCAUCUCUACUUCAUUUCACAUUUGCUUUUGAAAAAGGAAAAUCACACUCCACUUAAAAUCAAUUGAUGCAAAAUUCAUGAUACACAAUGAGUUUUACUAUGGGGUCCAAAUUCAAUUGGGUAUUGACAAAGAUUGGUCUGGGAAUUCGAUUGUCGAGUAAAGUUUUUUUCCUGGUGGGACCAUUUGGUUGUUAUUCUUGGCAAGGCGAGAAAAAUAAACAUAAGCUAAGCUACCCAGGUAUAUAUAUAUAUUUUGCUUCUUCAGCUUUUGGCUGGUCUUAUUCGUAUCUAUUUCUAAUAAAAUUUCAAUUUAUUUUGUUACACAAAUGAAACAAUAUUCUCUGUUAUGUGACAGAGAAAUUCAAACCAAAAAGAAAAAAGGUAUGACAAGCAAUUGUAAAGUAAAUCACAAUCACCCCUUAGCUUAUGAGUUCCUAGAAACUAUAGCCUGUAAUAGCGAUCAAAAUGGCAAUAGUCAAUCCUGUCCUUGCCCACCAAAGCUUUGUUCCUGCCACCAACAAUGAAUCUCCUCCAUUCUGUAUUUCAUAGAAACAAAUAAUAAAAUUAGAUUCAUAUGUUGUAAACAUCCUCAAUUCAUACAUUGAUUUUGUUCUUUUUUGUUAGUAGAACUUAGAAGGCAUUACCAAAUUGAGACUAGGUGAUGGUGCUGGUGUCGUGUCAUCUGUAGUUGGCACUGCAGGUGGUGCUGGGGGGCUUGGAACUGUUGGUGCUGGUGCUGGUGCAUGGUGGUGUCUCCUGUGCCUGUGCCUGUGCCUUCUCUUGUGCUUGGUGGGAGCUGGUGCAGGAGCCGGUGGCAAAGUAAUGGGUGCAGGUGCUGGGGGCAGCUUUACUGGUGCAGGAGCUGGUGGUUUCUGAGCUGGUGCUGGUGCAGGAGAUACUGGUGGUGGUGAUGGUGGUGGCAAUGCUGGCGGUUGAGCUGGAGCUGUGGUUGGAGGAGUUUGAGGUGGUUGAGGUGGUGGAGUUUGUGGCGGUGGGACGGUUUGGCUUGUAGCUGGUGCAACAGUGGGAGGGGGAGUUGUUGCAGGUGGUUGAGCUGGCGCGAUGGGCGUGGUGGAAGGUGGAGGCGUUGCUGUUGAAGGAGGUGGUGCUGAAGUUGUAGGUGGAGGGGUUGUUGAAGGAGGUGGUGCGGAAGUUGUAGGUGGUGGCGAAGUUGAAGGUGGAGUGGUGGUGGUGGUGGUUGGCGUACUGGAAGGUGAGGCAGCUGGUGUUUGUGCACUCGUAAUGGCUAGUUGAAGGGUGAGAGUAGUUACAAUGAGAGCCCAAAACAUGAAAGCCAUUUUGUUAGAGAUGGGGAAUAGCAUUUGCAAGCAACAAUAUAUAAACACUAAACAACCAGCAAUUCUCAAA